CUGGAUGUGAGUGAAUGUCUGUUUCGUGUGAACGGGACUCUUAUUUUGGCGAGGCGGGGUGACGUCAUAAGGCGGCGCCGCGCGAUUCUGCUGGAGGUGCAGAGCGGACAGCACAUCUCGACACCGUCACAGCAGAUGACCUACUAACCCCGGAACAACACUCAUCAGGAGAAAAGAGAAGCUCCUGCUGAAGAGACUGAGACACACUGUUAUAAAGAUGGAGAUUAUUAAAGAGGAGAGUGAAGACAUGAAGAUAGAAGACACAUUCAGAGACAAACAUGAAGAUACUGAGACACACACUGUUAUAAAGAUGGAGUUUAUUA
Cyprinus carpio (common carp) is the source of this 323-nucleotide long non-coding RNA. RefSeq lists it as uncharacterized. The transcript is spliced from 3 exons. NCBI's taxonomy places the organism in Eukaryota, Metazoa, Chordata, Actinopteri, Cypriniformes, Cyprinidae. The record is from RefSeq and is a predicted model, not a curated record.